This 460-nucleotide ribosomal RNA is filed under the name uncultured bacterium. Its description in RNAcentral is "partial 16S ribosomal RNA". It matches the Rfam family "Bacterial small subunit ribosomal RNA", at positions 29 to 523 of the family's 1533-position model. The record is from RNAcentral.
AACGAACGCUGGCGGCGGGUCUUAGGCAUGCAAGUCGAACGGGUGUAGCAAUACAUCAGUGGCGCACGGGUGAGUAACGCGUGGGAAUCUGCCCAUCACUGGGGAAUAACGUUUGGAAACGAACGCUAAUACCGCAUACGCCCGAAAGGGGAAAGAUUUAUCGGUGAUGGAUGAGCCCGCGUUGGAUUAGCUUGUUGGUGGGGUAAAGGCCUACCAAGGCGAUGAUCCAUAGCCGGCCUGAGAGGGCGAUCGGCCACACUGGGACUGAGACACGGCCCAGACUCCUACGGGAGGCAGCAGCUAAGAAUAUUGGACAAGGGGGGAAACCCUGAUCCAGCCACGCCGCGUGAGUGAAGAAGGCCUUCGGGUCGUAAACCUCUUUUGACUGGGAAGCACCCGCAAGGGUGGACGGUACCAGUAGAAUAAGCACCUGCUAACCAUGUGCCAGCCGCCGCAGUAA